Molecule: ribosomal RNA, 486 nt
Filed under: uncultured bacterium
Lineage: Bacteria
Description: partial 16S ribosomal RNA
Rfam family: Bacterial small subunit ribosomal RNA
Source: RNAcentral
AACGAACGCUGGCGGCGCGUCUUACCCAUGCAAGUCGAGCGGCAGGCAGCAAUGCCGAGAGCGGCGGACUGGUGAGUAACACGUGGAUAACGUACCCCGAUGUCCGGGACAGCCUGUAGAAAUAGAGGGUAAUACCGGAUAGACCACUGUUUACGUGAGGUAGACAGCGGGAAAGGAGCUUCGGCUCCGCGACGGGAUCGGUCUGCGGCCCAUCAGCUGGACGGCGGGGUAAAGGCCCGCCGUGGCGAGGACGGGUAUCCGGCCUGAGAGGGCGGACGGACACAUUGGGACUGAGAUACGGCCCAGACUCCUACGGGAGGCAGCAGGUAAGAAUAUUCCGCAAUGGGGGGAACCCUGACGGAGCGACGCCGCGUGAACGAAGAAGGCCGGAAGGUUGUAAAGUUCUUUUCUGUCCGAGGAAUAAGUUUCGGAGGAAAUGCCGGGACGGUGACGGUAGGGCAGGAAUAAGCACCGGCUAAUUACGUG